CCCUUAGAUGUUCUGGGCCGCACGCGCGCUACACUGAUGCAUUCAACAAGCCUAGCCUUGACCGAGAGGUCCGGGUAAUCUUUGAACCUGCAUCGUGAUGGGGCUAGAUUAUUGCAAUUAUUAAUCUUCAACGAGGAAUGCCUAGUAAGCGUGAUUCAUCAAAUCGCGUUGAUUACGUCCCUGCCCUUUGUACACACCGCCCGUCGCUCCUACCGAUUGAAUGUGUUGGUGAGGAGCUCGGAUUGGCAGCAGUUGGUGGUUCGCCACCGGCUAUUGCUGAGAAGUCCUCCAAACCGCCCCAUUUAGAGGAAGGAGAAGUCGUAACA
RNAcentral lists this ribosomal RNA (326 nucleotides) under uncultured eukaryote. RNAcentral's name for it is "partial 18S ribosomal RNA". It matches the Rfam family "Eukaryotic small subunit ribosomal RNA", at positions 1470 to 1796 of the family's 1831-position model. The record is from RNAcentral.